Small nucleolar RNA from Xenopus tropicalis (tropical clawed frog), 134 nucleotides. NCBI's taxonomy places the organism in Eukaryota, Metazoa, Chordata, Amphibia, Anura, Pipidae. The record is from Ensembl.
UGGCAUAGAGAACACCCAAGUGUGCUUUGUAGCUCCCUUGGCCUUACAUCUGUGCUAAAUUAAUAUAUGUACUUUUACCUCUGCGGUAGAAGGUGGCUUUUCCUUCUAUAUGUAUUCAGAAGUACAGUACAGUG